RNAcentral lists this unclassified non-coding RNA (225 nucleotides) under plant metagenome. Its description in RNAcentral is "partial contains small subunit ribosomal RNA, internal transcribed spacer 1, and 5.8S ribosomal RNA". The record is from RNAcentral.
UCUCCGUUGGUGAACCAGCGGAGGGAUCAUUACAGGACUCGCAAGACUCCUACAACCCUGUGAACUUAACUAUAAGCACGUUGCUUCGGCGGGUGUCUCGGAGGGGGUUCUCCCUCCCCGAGACGCUAAACCCGCCGGCAGCCUACUAUACUCUGUCUCUUUGCGUUGGCAUCUCGAGAACAAUCAAACAAGUUAAAACUUUCAACAACGGAUCUCUUGGUUCUG